Long non-coding RNA from Onychostoma macrolepis, 2294 nucleotides. RefSeq lists it as uncharacterized. Lineage: Eukaryota; Metazoa; Chordata; Actinopteri; Cypriniformes; Cyprinidae. The record is from RefSeq and is a predicted model, not a curated record. The transcript has 4 exons.
GAGAAGAAUAACAACUUGUAUUUUCUGGAUACUGAGAGAGAUGUCACACCAACCUGAUUUAUCACCCCCCAUUACAUAGUUUACAGUGCAAUGAACAGUGUAAUCUCAUGACUUGUUUUCCCAACAUGUUUAUAUGUCUGUUUUUCCCAGGGUUCAGUUUGGCUUUUGCAGCAGACUAUCCCUCCUGGUGUGAUGAUGAAAACAUUCCAGUAGCAGAUCAGAAAGCUGCUCAGCAUGGCCCAUCACAUCCCACCUGCUCAGUCCCUUACGCCGGUACCCCCUGCUCACCUUCUAAACCUUCCAACAACUCCAUUAAAACAUGUUCGCAUCAGCCUGGCCGAGGCCUGACCCGUACAAUGCUUUUAGGAGGUCCGUGCGGAUAUUUAUAGCAGACCGUGGACAAACACACAUUCACACACACACUUGCACGGAGUGCACCGUUUAACUCUGUUCCUGUCGGUGACUCGGAGGAGGAAAAAACCCAGAGAAAGUACAUUUUCCAAGUCAAACAUUCUCAGAGACAAGUCUUUCUAUAUUUCACUGCUUCUGAGUGAGGUUUACUUAAGAACAGGCUGUAUUUCAUGCUGCGGAUAUGAUUCUACUAAAGGAUGUAGUCAGGCUCUGGGAAGAACGGGAAAAUGACUCUUCAGUGCGGUCCGUUUGUCAGGUAUAAAUAACAUGUAACCUGUUUCCCAUGUGUGCAUCCAGCGACAAGGCCGACAUUCAAUGCUGUCAUAAUUGCUAAACCACGCCGCAAAGGGGGGAGCCAGUGAACGGAGGCCGGGCUGAGAACUGGUCACAGCCAUCUUAACGCCAAGCGUACCCCCGACCCCAUCCUCAUAAUAAAUCAGUUUGAGAAGCAUGAUAACAGGGAGAGCCCCACGCUAUCCCGAGAGGCCACUAAAUCCUUCAGAAACAGGACAUAAUUCUGCACUUGAACAGUCCGUAUCCGGUCAGAUGGUGGAUCAGCACCAAGAGAUGAUGUCUACAGCCCUGAUCAUCAGUGGAGACCAGGACACCCAGAUGACCCCCAGAGACAUAUCCCCAGUGAAAACCUCGAUUGAAUACAAUAAAACUAAAAAAAAAAACAAAAUAACUAAAAUAUAAUAAAAUACCUAACUGCAUAAUACUACUAUUGUUAGAAAUUGCAACAAAAUUAAAAUAGAAAUAUAAACUUUUGAACUGCGGGUUUCGUCUGGUCAGAGGAGAACUGGCUCCCCGACUGAGCCUGGUUUCUCCCAAGGUUUUUUUCUCCAUUCUGUCACAGAGGGAGUUUUGGUUCCUUGCCGCUGUCGCCUCUGGCUUGCUCAGUUGGGGACACUUAAUUUCUAGCGAUUAUCGCCGAUUUGAUUGCACAGAUAUUAUUUAAACUAAACUGAGCUAGACAAUGACAUCUCUGAAUUCAAUAAUGAAAUGCCUUUAACUGAAAAUUGAGUGUUUAAUCUUAUCAUUAUACAUUACUGACACUCGAUCCUCUAAUUUGAUACUGUUAAGUGCUUUGACACAAUCUGUAUUGUUAAAAGCGCUAUAUAAAUAAAGGUGACUUGACUUGACUUGACUAGUGCUUUGAGAACAAAAAGACUUGUCUUCAAGAGAAUUUAAAAAAAAACAUGGAAAAAAAAUAUCCAUCUUUGUCAGUCCAUAAAAAGCAGAUUGAUGGGACCCUCAAAGUUAAUGCAUUAAAAACCACACAAAACUCUAAAAUGAUCUGAAAACAAUAUUGUUCCUCUGUAUUGUCAUUAUUUUUUUAGUUGUGACUUGGACUCCACUAUUCUCCAGGGCCCGGUUGCAUGAAAGUCCUUAAGUAAUUUGACUUAGGGGUAUCCUUGAGGUGAAACACUUCCCUGAGGUAAGGGAUUCCUUUAAGAGCGUUGCAACAAACGUCUUAACUGUCACCCUUACUUAAGGGUGCGUCCGAAAUCGCAUACUUCCCUACUAUAUAGUAUGCAAAAAACAGUAUGCGAGGCGAGUAGUAUGUCCAAAUUCACAGUAUUCGAAAAACAGUAGGCGAGAAGUACCCGGAUGACCUACUGCUUCCGCCCGAAUUCUGUAGUAGGCAUACGAUGGACACUUCACCGUCCCAUAAGGCCGCGGGAGAGGAGUCAUUCGAAAAUGGCGGAAAGCCGCGAUGUGGCUGUCUUGAAGUGGACUGAUGAACACUUGAAAGCAUAAUGCUGCUAUCAAAGGGUUUAAACGCUUUUACCCAAAGCAACUUACAACUGGGGAAUACAUAAAGCGAUUCAUCUUGAAGAGGCAAUCAGACAGACGAAGUGCUUGCAACACCAAGUCUCAGG